GGCAACUUGGCCGAGCGGUCUAAGGCGCCACGUUAAGGAGAUAUCCUUAAUCACAUCUAUCUUGAUCUAUCUGAUCUUGAUAAAUAGUUCCGUGGUCCGAAAGGGCGUGAGUUCGAAUCUCACAGUUGUCA
Non-coding RNA from Podospora conica, 131 nucleotides. The record is from the annotation of a GenBank genome assembly. NCBI's taxonomy places the organism in Eukaryota, Fungi, Ascomycota, Sordariomycetes, Sordariales, Podosporaceae.